ACUGCUUGUAAGGUCUGCUAGCCCUCAUUCUCUGAUCCUUCUAGUCUUAGUGAGAAAAUGUAACCGUGGAAAUUGAUUUUAUUCAAUAAUAACUUUUAAUAUGAUUUUAUCUUCCCCUCCCUGCAGUCAGACCUUUUAUCUGCUCUCUUGCAGCUACCGUGCGUGUUUAAAUAAUUAGCAAGUGUGACUAAAAAGUCAACUCACCACCCUCUUUUGAGAAUCUAGCUUUAGCAUUUAGGUAACUAAACACCUUAAAUUGUUUCUGUCCCUUACUGAAUUCAGGGCCUAAACCCAGCUCCAGUUAUCUUCUUCUGUCUGCUCUGUGGUAGGUGGAUAAUUCAGCUAAAAAUGUGCUAAAAAUGAUGGCACUUUUUGCGUAUCCACCUUUCUGCUCAUUUUGGUUUUGCUGGAGCCAGUAGUCUUGACUACUGACCUCAUUUUUCCCCAGAGCCGCUUCAUGUUGAUCUAUGAAGUCGCUGCCUGUUUUCCUUCCUACUUCUGCCCCGAUCCACAGUGAAAUUGGGAGUUAGCGACUAAGUGGAUGCAUCCCAACUUUACUAUAUGGAAUUGGCUCCUGGUUCUUUGUCAGUGUCACAGAGACUGUUCAUACGAGUCAUGGCCCAGUUACUAUUUAUUUUCUAAAUAAAGAAGAUGAAGGCGCAAUGUACUGAAAUCAUGCCCUCAAGUACCUGUCAUUUGGUGGGUUUUCAUGUUACUGCUGCUACAAAUGCCUACUCCCUGUGACUAAAAGAGAACUGAAGGCAAUUCUCUUUUUUUUUUUUUUUGCUGUGUAUUUUAUUUAACGUGUUGUCCUCAGGAAGCUUCAUGGAAUUUUUUGGUCAUAAGAGGUUUAUUUUGUAGAGGUUAUUAAAGUUGAAAAAGUAGAAGCCUCAGGAAAAGAACUAAUAUUUCUAAGGGUGUUAUAAUUUAUAUAAGUCGGUGACUAGAACUGUUGAACAAGCUUCUGAUAAUUUAAAAAAGAUAAGUGUGCCAACAUAUAGGACUGAAUUGUAGUGUGUGGGCAAGGAAACUGUGACUAUCAGACUUCUCAGAAUGUCUCUGAAAACGCUAAGCUGCUCAGAUUUAGACUGACUAGAUGUUUUGUAAUACAUUAAUUGUCAUAUUUGCAAGAAUGUUUGAAUGAAUCCAUGGCACUGACUUCUUCUUCACAACUGCCCAGAAGGCUUUUUGGAAAAGUAUGCCCAAGAAGUUAAAAAUGGCUGUUUGUAUCUCAUUUCUCAAAUGAUAUUUAAAUAAAAUAUCUAAAAUACA
Cygnus olor (mute swan) is the source of this 1272-nucleotide long non-coding RNA. RefSeq lists it as uncharacterized. The transcript has 2 exons. Lineage: Eukaryota; Metazoa; Chordata; Aves; Anseriformes; Anatidae. The record is from RefSeq and is a predicted model, not a curated record.